RNAcentral lists this unclassified non-coding RNA (454 nucleotides) under uncultured Microbotryomycetes. Its description in RNAcentral is "sequence contains ITS2". The stretch from base 1 to 154 matches the Rfam family "5.8S ribosomal RNA". The record is from RNAcentral. Lineage: Eukaryota; Fungi; Basidiomycota; Microbotryomycetes.
AACUUUCAACAAUGGAUCACUUGGCUCUGGCAUCGAUGAAGAACGCAGCGAAAUGUGAUAAGUAAUGUGAAUUGCAGAAUUCAGUGAAUCAUCGAAUCUUUGAACGCACCUUGCGCUCCCUGGUAUUCCGGAGAGCAUGCCUGUUUGAGUGUCAUGAACUCUUCAACCCACCGGUUCCUUGUUGAACCGUGUUGGCGUUUGGUUUUUGAGCGUUGCAUUUUCUCAAAAAGCUCGUUCGUAAUAUAUUAGCAUCUCAAUUUCCAAAUUUCGGAUUGACUCAGCGUAAUAGACUAUUCGCUGAGGACACCUUUUUUAUUAUUUAAAACCAAGGUGGCCGAGUUUAGAUAACAGUUAGAAGCUUCAAGCUCUUACUUUUUGAAGUCAAAAUCUUAGAUUAGACCUCAGAUCAGGCAGGAUUACCCGCUGAACUUAAGCAUAUCAAUAAGCGGAGGAU